This is a small nucleolar RNA of Gossypium raimondii (Peruvian cotton), 106 nucleotides long. It matches the Rfam family "Plant small nucleolar RNA R71". Rfam says of the family: R71 is a member of the C/D box family of snoRNAs containing the C (UGAUGA) and D (CUGA) box motifs. Multiple nearly identical copies of this snoRNA have been identified in Arabidopsis, and it is thought to function as a 2'-O-ribose methylation guide for 18S ribosomal RNA. The record is from Rfam. NCBI's taxonomy places the organism in Eukaryota, Viridiplantae, Streptophyta, Magnoliopsida, Malvales, Malvaceae.
AAUUCGUGGUGCGGGAAUUUUUUAAUCAACAUUUUGAAAUGUUCCCACGCCUCAUAAAAACUUUCUCCCUCUAUCUAUCUAAAGAAAGAAAUCUCUCGUCUUAGCU